CCUACGUGAGGCUGCAGUGGGGAAUAUUGGGCAAUGGGCGCAAGCCUGAACCAGCCAAGCCGCGUGAAGGACGAAGGUGCCAAGCAUUGUAAACUUCUUUUGUCAAGGGACAAAAUCAGGCUCGAGAGCCUGACCGAGGGUACUUGAAGAAAAAGCAUCGGCUAACUCCGUGCCAGCAGCCGCGGUAAUACGGAGGAUGCGAGCGUUAUCCGGAUUUAUUGGGUUUAAAGGGUGCGUAGGCGGACUGUUAAGUCAGCGGUAAAAGCCCGGGGCUCAACCCCGGCGAGCCGUUGAAACUGGCUGUCUUGAGAUGUCGAGAGGUAUGCGGAAUGCGCAGUGUAGCGGUGAAAUGCUUAGAUAUCACGCAGAACUCCGAUUGCGAAGGCAGCAUACCGGCGCUCAACUGACGCUCAUGCACGAAAGCGUGGGUAUCGAACAGGAUUAGAUACCCUGGUAGUC
RNAcentral lists this ribosomal RNA (459 nucleotides) under uncultured bacterium. RNAcentral describes it as "partial 16S ribosomal RNA". It matches the Rfam family "Bacterial small subunit ribosomal RNA", at positions 338 to 795 of the family's 1533-position model. The record is from RNAcentral.